GACGAACGCUGGCGGCGUGCCUAAUACAUGCCAGUAGAACGCACAGUUUAUACCGUAGCUUGCUACACCAUAGACUGUGAGUUGCGAACGGGUGAGUAACGCGUAGGUAACCUGCCUGGUAGCGGGGGAUAACUAUUGGAAACGAUAGCUAAUACCGCAUAAUAUUAAUUAUUGCAUGAUAAUUAAUUGAAAGGUGCAAUUGCACCACUACCAGAUGGACCUGCGUUGUAUUAGCUAGUAGGUGAGGUAACGGCUCACCUAGGCGACGAUACAUAGCCGACCUGAGAGGGUGAUCGGCCACACUGGGACUGAGACACGGCCCAGACUCCUACGGGAGGCAGCAGUAGGGGAUCUUCGGCAAUGGACGAAAGUCUGACCGAGCAACGCCGCGUGAGUGAAGAAGGUUUUCGGAUCGUAAAGCUCUGUUGUAAGAGAAGAACGGGUGUGAGAGUGGAAAGUUCACACUGUGACGGUAUCUUACCAGAAAGGGACGGCUAACUACGUG
Molecule: ribosomal RNA, 505 nt
Filed under: uncultured bacterium
Lineage: Bacteria
Description: partial 16S ribosomal RNA
Rfam family: Bacterial small subunit ribosomal RNA
Source: RNAcentral